GGAUCCAGACUUUGAUUAUGGCUCAGGAUGAACGCUGGCGGCAUGCCUAAGACAUGCAAGUCGAACGAGGUGGCCCAAAGAAGAUUGAGUGCUUGCACAAGAUUGGAUUUGGAUUACCACCUAGUGGCGGACGGGUGAGUAACACGUAGGUGACCUGCCUUUGAGUUUGGGAUAACUAUUAGAAAUGAUAGCUAAUACCGGAUUAAAUGCAGAUUCGUUUCUGUAUUAAAAGGAGCCUUUAAAGCUUCGCUUAAAGAUGGGCCUGCGGCGUAUUAGCUAGUUGGUGAGGUAAUGGCUUACCAAGGCGACGAUGCGUAGCCGAACUGAGAGGUUGAUCGGCCACAUUGGGACUGAGACACGGCCCAAACUCCUACGGGAGACAGCAGUUAGGAAUAUUCGUCAAUGGGGGAAACCCUGAACGAGCAAUGCCGCGUGAACGAUGAAGGCCCUAUGGGUUGUAAAGUUCUGUUGCAUGGGACGAACGGCUAGGAUAGGAAAUGAUCUUAGCGUGACGGUACCAUGCCAGAAAGCUCCGGCUAACUACGUGCCAGCAGCCGCGGUAAUACGUAGGGAGCAAGCGUUAUCCGGAUUUAUUGGGCGUAAAGGGUGCGUAGGCGGUUUGUUAAGUAUGAGAUUAAAGCCUGGGGCUUAACCUCAGUUCGUUUCAUAAACUGGCAGACUUGAGUAUGGCAGAGGUAAACGGAAUUUCUAGUGUAGCGGUUAAAUGCGUAGAUAUUAGAAGGAACACCAGUGGCGAAGGCGGUUUACUGGGCCAUAACUGACGCUGAGGCACGAAAGCGUGGGGAGCAAAUAGGAUUAGAUACCCUAGUAGUCCACGCCGUAAACGAUGAGUACUAAGUGUUGGGGCAACCCAGUGCUGAAGUUAACACAUUAAGUACUCCGCCUGAGUAGUACGGUCGCAAGGCUGCAACUCAAAUGAAUUGACGG
RNAcentral lists this ribosomal RNA (948 nucleotides) under uncultured Bacillota bacterium. Its description in RNAcentral is "bacterial SSU rRNA". It matches the Rfam family "Bacterial small subunit ribosomal RNA", at positions 1 to 916 of the family's 1533-position model. The record is from RNAcentral. Lineage: Bacteria; Bacillati; Bacillota.